RNAcentral lists this ribosomal RNA (329 nucleotides) under Sandonidae sp. Its description in RNAcentral is "SSU rRNA". It matches the Rfam family "Eukaryotic small subunit ribosomal RNA", at positions 630 to 955 of the family's 1831-position model. Lineage: Eukaryota; Cercozoa; Glissomonadida; Sandonidae. The record is from RNAcentral.
GAUUUCUGGCUUGCAACUGGUAGUCGGCCACGGUUUCGUGUGUUAGUACUAAUCCUGUUCUGGCCAUCCUUCCCAUUCGCUUCUCGCCUUUGUCUUCAUUGACAGGGGCGAGGGAUGGGAUCGUUUACUUUGAAAAAAUUAGAGUGUUUCAAGCAGGCUGUUUAUGCUAUGAAUACAUUAGCAUGGAAUAAUAAUUUAGGACUUCGGUUCUAUUUUGUUGGUUUCUAGGACUGAAGUAAUGAUUGAUAGGGAUAGUUGGGGGUGCUAGUAUUCAGCGGCCAGAGGUGAAAUUCUCGGAUUCGCUGAAGACUAACUUAUGCGAAAGCAUU